Molecule: small RNA, 110 nt
Filed under: Jeongeupia sp.
Lineage: Bacteria; Pseudomonadati; Pseudomonadota; Betaproteobacteria; Neisseriales; Chitinibacteraceae
Description: Manganese sequence
Rfam family: Manganese Mn2+ riboswitch aptamer (yybP-ykoY) (bases 13-110)
About the family: This RNA was originally discovered in E. coli during a large scale screen and was named SraF. The family was later found to exist upstream of related families of protein genes in many bacteria, including the the yybP and ykoK genes in B. subtilis.
Source: RNAcentral
UCUUUGGUCUUCAGGGGAGUAGUCGCCUGCCGCGUGCAGGGGGUACGUCAACACACUUGAGCCCGUGGCUCAUGGCGUAUCCGGCCGGUUGCCUGCCUUGGCACCGUGCU